AUACGGAGGAUCCGAGCGUUAUCCGGAUUUAUUGGGUUUAAAGGGUGCGCAGGCGGGAGAUUAAGUCGGCGGUGAAAUUUUGCAGCUCAACUGUAAAAGUGCCUUCGAAACUGGUUUCCUUGAGUGUAGAUGAAGUAGGCGGAAUUUGUGGUGUAGCGGUGAAAUGCAUAGAUAUCACGAGGAACUCCGAUUGCGCAGGCAGCUUACUAAACUACUACUGACGCUCAGGCACGAAGGCGUGGGGAUCAAACAGGAUUAGAUACCCUGGUAGUCCACGCAGUAAACGAUGAUUACUAGCUGUUUGCGAUACAAUGUAAGCGGCUGAGCGAAAGCGUUGAGUAAUCCACCUGGGGAGUACGUUCGCAAGAAUGAAACUCAAAGGAAUUGACGGG
RNAcentral lists this ribosomal RNA (392 nucleotides) under uncultured bacterium. RNAcentral's name for it is "partial 16S ribosomal RNA". It matches the Rfam family "Bacterial small subunit ribosomal RNA", at positions 523 to 917 of the family's 1533-position model. The record is from RNAcentral.